UUACCUUUCAUUCAGCUGGUUAGCUGGUCGACACCGAACCUUAAUGCUGCAGCAAUCACCGUGCUGGUUGAUCGGUGGAGGAUGGAGACGCACAGUUUCCAUCUUCACACUGAGGAGAUGACCGUGAUGCUCCAGGAUGUUGCCUUAAUCACCGGUCUUCCCAUCGAGGGGAAGCCUCUCUGUAUGAGCACCAAUUCGGAUGGGUGCCGCCAGCAGAUGGAGGCCCUUAUUGGUAGCUCUCCUGCAGAGCCUCAAGAACCAGAAGAAGGAAACAAGAAGAAGGAAAGAGUUGCAGCCGGUGCUCCUUUCACCUAG
Molecule: ribosomal RNA, 315 nt
Filed under: Triticum aestivum (bread wheat)
Lineage: Eukaryota; Viridiplantae; Streptophyta; Magnoliopsida; Poales; Poaceae
Description: partial small subunit ribosomal RNA
Source: RNAcentral